UACGUAGGGGGCGAGCGUUGUCCGAAGUUACUGGGCGUAAAGAGCGCGUAGGCGGGCUUUUAAGUGAGAGGUGAAAGGUUCGGGCUCAACCCGGAGAGUGCCUUUCAUACUGGGAGCCUUGAGUGCGGGAGAGGCAAGUGGAAUGGUCGGUGUAGCGGUGAAAUGCGUAGAUAUCGAUCGGAACACCCGUGGCGAAGGCGGCUUGCUGGCUCGCAACUGACGCUGAGGCGCGAAAGCUAGGGGAGCAAACAGG
Molecule: ribosomal RNA, 253 nt
Filed under: uncultured bacterium
Lineage: Bacteria
Description: partial 16S ribosomal RNA
Rfam family: Bacterial small subunit ribosomal RNA
Source: RNAcentral